This is a long non-coding RNA of Podarcis muralis (Common wall lizard), 7989 nucleotides long. RefSeq lists it as uncharacterized. Lineage: Eukaryota; Metazoa; Chordata; Lepidosauria; Squamata; Lacertidae. The record is from RefSeq and is a predicted model, not a curated record.
GAAGCAUUUUAUCUCUUUUAAUUUGUUUUUUCUCCCCUACACCUUUUCAUAUUAAAGGAGGAUACAUAGUUGUAAAUGGUCCAGUUUGUCAGUCAUAAAAAUAAUUUAUUAAUAUGUUUUAGCUAUUUAGAUAAUGAACUGAAAUCACAUAAAAUAACCUAAUUUCCUUCACAUUUGAAAUAGAUGAUCCCAUUUCUUUCUUUUGUCUUGCCUCCUUCAUCCCCACUCCCUCUCCCUUUAUAUGUUUAAGAUCCCUUCCCAGUUGUUCCCCAGUCAUUAUUUCAAAGUUACUGUGCUAACUGGUGAUCACUUAGGGCUAUUUCAUGCAUGGCAUGUCCCCAGGUAGGAAAAAAUAUGUGCACACACGUCAUGUUGUAUGUCUGUUCUGCUGUGGUUACCUGUAUUUGGAACCACCUGCUGCAGCUUCUGAACAUGUGUAGCCAAGGCAGAAUAAACACUUGUGCCGUUUUCAUGCCCAGCAAUGUAUGUGGGUGUACACAUAUUUUUCUGCACUGAGUUUCCCUUCAUGUAGGAAACUCAUGAAUGAAGCAGCCCUAUGAAAAGCAGUGGCAAGUAACAGGAGUUUGGUGUAGUCCUGCAUCACUUAUUUCACUUGCCUGCUUAAUAGCCAGUCGUUACUUACAAAAACCACACUGCCUCUGUCUCAAAAAUAGGCACCUCACACACACCUUGAGUCUUUACCUGGAGAACUGCUGCUCUGCAUAAUUUCAGGUUGAACUUAGCAUCUUCCACACUGUCCCGUAUGCAUGGAAUGCCCUCCCUGAACUGAUCCAUAAGGUCACAACUCUCCUCUCCUUUAUCUCCUUGAGACCCACCUCUGCUGCAAUGCCUACUGAGCCUAUUGCACAACUUGCAAUGACAGAUUGCUAUGUGAAAGGACAGAUGGGGAUUGUUGACAUUUUGUAGUAAUACUAAUUAUAAAUAAAUAUAUGUAUAUAAAGGUUGCAUAUAUUUAGCUGCAUCCCUUUUCUUCCUUACCCUUUGUAUGUCACCUGCUUUCUUCAAGGCAGGGAACUUGGUUUUUGUUUUUGUUUUUUUGUAUAUAUGAUUGCCUAGCACACUGCUAAUCCAUAGAGGUUGAAGAAAUUGAGGAUAAGUCAUGUGUAGAUUACAGAGUUGUGUGAAGCAUUAACUUUGAUGCUAUGUUACAGUGGUGAAGCAAAGUGGCUGGAGUUAAAUUUACUUAAUUUUGUUUUUUGUUUUACACUUUUCCCAACUCUCUCGUUUCUCUUCCUUUUGUUGAUCAUAUUAACAAGAGCUCCAAGUACACCUACAGCACUGCCACUCAAAUCAUUCUACAGAAACCCAUAUAGAAUAAAACCUUGUAACUAGUUGUGAGCCCCAGUGACUUGGAACACUUUGUAGUGUAGAUGGGUUCUCCAAUAAGUAUAAUGUUUGCGUGUGUGUGUGUUUGCUUGCUUUUGUUUCACUGAGGGGGAGGAUAAAUGCCCUGGAUAUGGCUUUUGAAACCAUGCACAGCCAGGUCCACUUCACGUGUAUAUAUGCAGUCCAUACUCUCAAACUGACAUCCACUUUGAACGAUGUAUACGUUGACACAAAAGUCAUUACUUGUGCCAGAGAGUCAAGAAUUUGUCUCUGCCACAUGUACACAUACUUUAAAGCAUAUACUGUAUGUUUCUUGUAAAGCAGACCUCACAUGUGUAGAAUUUCCUUUAUGCGAAGUUGCAUUGUACUUUGCAUGGCAUUCUGUAUAGGCAGGGGCUAUCCCAAUAGCAGGCAUAGGUUCAUAUGGAUAUAUUUGGUGUUUCCCGUGAAAUUGAAGACAAUAAGGUAGCCCCUUAUUACUCUUAAUCAGAGCCCCUUAUUUACAAUGGAGCCACUGGAUCAGGGCCGUGGUUUAGCAAUACAGUUAAGAGAUAAAAUUCCUUGUAAGAUUAAAAUCAAAUAUUAUGUUUUCCGCUGCUUUUAACUUUACUUCUGAAUGUUGCAUUGUGUUACUAAAAAAAACCAACUUCUCAAUCUGUAAUACAUCUUUUUAGCUUCCAGUUAUAGACUCACCUGCCAGUAAGCCCCAUUUAACUCAAUGGAGCUUACUUCUGAGUAGACCUUUACAGGAUUGCACUGUUACAUUGCUAUUUUCCCUUUCAUCAUCCUUCUCAAACUCAGAACUAAGCCAUUCAACUUUAAAAUACACAUCAUUUCAACUUGGAAACUGGUCUUAUUUCUUUUGGUUUACAAUAUUUUGAAAAAUUAAUACAAAUUUGACCCAGAAAAAUACACAGUUGAAUGUAUUAAUAAAUGAAUUAAUCUAAAUUGUAGGAAUUUUUUUGGAGUAUCCACUCCUUAGCAAGGUGGCUAGUCUGGACCAUGAACUCAAUGGGGGGGAAAUCUUAAAAUUAGCAAAACAAAUAACACAGGGAGAUUUUUGCAUAAUUCAGACAAAACUUUUGUAUCUCAUAGAGUUUUAGAACAAUAUAUUAUAUAGCAAUAUAUUUCCUCUGUUUAAUGUCUAUCCAUCCUUGCCCCGAUCAAGAGAUCACAUAUACACAUGGUGGGUUAUGUAUAUGUAUGUGUAUGGUGUCUCCCAAUCUUUUUAAGGACUUCUUCAUUUUAGUGGAUAGACCCAAACUAAGUGCGCCAAUGAUAGGACAUAUGGGGAUAGGGCACCUCCAUUGAAAUGAACAGAGAAUUCCAUUAACAUGUCUUGGUGAAAACAAGAUUUAUCAGGGCAUGUGAUAAUGCAAUGCCCAACAAAUCCCCACUGAAUCAAACAAAAACAUACCCAAACAACAAGCAAUAUGAUUAUUUCACCAGUAUAAGCACAAUAUGACUAGAAUUUUUAAAUUAAAUAAUUCCAGCCUAUUAAUUCAUUUUUUUUUCAAAAAUGAAGCAGCAACAAAAUAAACCAGCCUAUCUAUAGAUUAUUAUUUUUUAAAGAAAUCAUGAGGCAACGAUGGCUUACAUGACCAGAUAGCUAUGGAAUUUGUAGGGGGAGCAGGUUUUGCAUAGCUAUUUUGGAACACUUUUCUAAUUCAUAAGUACCAAAUUUUAUCCUAGCAAAUUUGGUGUAUCAAGCAAUGUCAGGUUUCCUUUGAUCUUAUUUGAGAUUUUAAGCCUAGCUAGUUGGUUUUUCCCCCUGAACAGUUUCUAAACUGGAUAUUGUUCAAUUCUCCAUCUAUAAGUGCUUCCAAAAUGUUAAUUUGAGACAAGAAUAAUCAGAUAUGCGUUUAGGGGAUUUUUACUGCUGAAUUGGUGCUAACCAAAUAAUAAUAAUUCUGAAACAGGAAUAUUUUUGCCUUCCUCUAUUUUUGUUGAUCUUUCUCUUGGGAGUAUAAAUUUUAAUUCUAGAAGAAUAUUACAAUAUCACCUGCAGAAACAUUAGGUUAGGUCAUAGUACAAUUUAAUACGAGAUGCAACUCACCUAACAGAACAAUGUUUAAUAGUGGUAUCUUCUAAAAGAAACGUAUCAGUGGCAUUAAUAUUUAUAGUACAUGGUAUAGUAUCAUUUUUUUCCAGAAAAAAGUGUGAAAUGAUGGCAUUUGAAACAAUUAAGACAUAAAUUAAAUCCAAUACUUGAAUUCCAAAUGUAAUAGGGAACGAAAAGUGGCCUCAUGUGAAAAGGCUACACACUGCGAUUACAGGUAUUUCAGCACUGUGGAAUAGAUCAUAGGACUUUCACAACCAAGGAAUAGUGAAAGCAGACAUGGUACCAGCUCUAAAGUGUUCACACCUUCAAAUAUGAUGAUAAUCUCGGAAAGAUGUUUUGGACAGAAUUAUUUAAGUCAUCAGAAAGAAACCUUGCCGUCAAAGAUAUGGAUAUUCCUGAUGUUACCAAUCUAACAUGGAUCCUCUGAAGGAUAUUUGUAGAAAAGUAAUUGAGGGUGACUUUGCCAUCCCAGUGAGGAAAACAUUGCAAGAGAAAAUAAAGUGAUGGAAUCGUGCUGUAAUGCUGCCACUGUGACUUAAACUUCAGUAUGCCUUAUUUAAGGUACCAGAGAGGUGGACAGCAUACUCUUCCUUUCUCUCAUUCUUUCUUUCCUUUCUUCCUGAUUUCCUUCCUUAUUUUUUCAAGGCCUUUUCUUCCCAUUCCACAUUGUUUGUUUUUUCAGUUGUUAACAAUGUCAUGUUGACUCCUAAUUAAAACUGUAAAAUAAAUUACUCUAGGCAUCUUGUAGUUUGUUUUCAUUUGCCUUGCUCAGUUCUACAAGCUGGCUCAUGUGUUUGCAGAAUCGCACCAUAACUUACUAUAAUGUUUGGAAGAUUGAUUCCCCAUCUCCAAAUUCCAUCUCUUCGAAUGCUGGCUCAAAUCUAGCACAUUUUGUUUCCACUUAUUUUCUCAAUUCUGAAAACCUUCCAUGUUUUCAGAAUGAAAUAACUUUUUUUUUUUGAAAAAUAAAUACUGUAUUUCUAAAAUAACUGUUGCUUCUGCAAUGUAGAAUAUCUCUUGCGUUAUAAGAUUACAAACAUAUGGAGCAUCUAUGCAUACAUUCACACAUAAUAUUCUUUUUCAUCUGCAUCUGGGGAUUUGAGUUGUCAUUCCAUGUGAUGGAGUAAGGUAUAAUCUAGCAUUAGAUAACAAUGUUAUCAUGAGGUUAUCUUAUCCCUAGCAGCUGGUUGUUUGGAAUGACUAAUUUAGAAUGACUUUUCCUUUGGUUCUUCAUUCAAUAGAAACCACAUUACAGAAAGGAAGGAUGAGAUUGGGGGUCAGUAUGUUCAUAAAACUUCCCAGUAGAAUUAAUUCAGCAGCAAUAUUAGUAAAUAUUCCCAAAAGGCAGAUAGUCUAAAAUUUGGCCAGCAAAGAAUUAAUGGAUCCCUAGAUACGAUUCAAAUGAAUAUCAAGUGAUUCAACCUGUGUGGCUCUGUAUUCCCUAAGUCUUAAACGUUUUUACUGAAAACUAUUCUUGAAGCACGGCAUAUGUAUCUAAUAUGACCCAGUCAUCUCUUAUUAGUUUCUGCUCAUUGAUUAUAGUAUAAUUUAUUAAACUAUAAAUAUUAUCUUUCAUGCAUUAGAGUGAAAUCUGAUUGCUGAAGCACACAUCAUAUUUUCCAGAUACCUUUUUAAUUUGCACCUCUUCCAGAUAAGAGGUAUAUAGGUGUUAAGAUGUUAGGUGACAGGAUUUGUAAAUCUGUUGCUUUUGAAUUAAUAUUUGGUAUUAGUUUCAUAUACCAUUUUCCCCACCCUGUACAAUGAUUCUAUCCUGUACAAUAUCUGAUUUGAGGUGUGCCAAGAAAUGCAAGCAUCUCCUCCCAGUUCUCUUAAACAGACUAUCCAUUUUAGAAGCCCUCUUGCAUAAUCUGAAAUUGUCAACUUCUUAUGUUAGGCUGUACGGUUGCAUACUUUACAAUACACUGUCUUAGUUUCAUUUAUCUUACAGUUUGGCUUGAUUCAGACCUCACACCAAAGCAUGCUUUGCACUAAUUGUAGCUUAGAACCCAAACCAUGGUUUGAGCUUCCAUAUAUAAAGACAAAGCAUGAGUUAGAGCUGCUUGUUUGCUUUUGUUUGUUCUGCUACAUCAUGUCAGUUCCUUCCCAUGUGGAGCAAAUAUAGGUGACUGCCUAGGUCCAGUGUUCUCAGGGGCCCACACCUUAACACAGCACACAUGACUACAGGUCCUGUAUACGGACAAAUAGCGGGCCAGUGGCUAGGCAGAAACCAUGCAUUCAGUUACUCUUUUGUGGCUCCAGGAAAUGGCAGGCAUGGGGUAGGGGCAUGCCUGCAUUAAGAGAAAACUAUUUCAAAUAAACAAUGACAGAAAAGUUAUUAUUUUCCCUCUCCCACGCGGGGUAGGGGGAGUGUUGUUAUUUUUUACCCUACUUACUUUGCGUCUCAUCCCAUGUUGAACUCCAAGAAUGUGAGGCAACCACAUUCACCUAUUUAAACUGCAUUUGAGGCUCGCAAAUCCUGAAUUCAACUAAUUCAAUAAUAUUUACUUGCGUAAAACCAAAUAUUGUUGUGAGUAAUCCUACAUAAAUGGCAUUAUACUAAAGACCUUUACUCUUAAUAGUGAAAGUUAAUAGUGAAAGUUAUUACUAGUGCGCACUCUGCUCUUUUCUGUUUCUUGGAGUGGGGGUGGAAUUGGACAGAAUUUCUUACUAAAAUCUCGUAUGUUGAAACUGUUUUAUAAGGCCACAUGCUAUAUUUAUAAUGUAUGAAUAAUGAAGGUGUAAAAAGAGAAUAUCAAUUCUACAUUUUGCUGUUACUAAAGCUAUCUUAUAGAGUAAGUGGUUAAGGUGUAUGUCCUAGAAAUGCUUUGUACAGAGUUCUAGAUUCAAACUCAGGCACCUGUCUAAAAGCUUUAUUUGAUUUAUUUUUUACAUUUGUAUCCCACCUUUCCUCCAAGGUAGAGUACAUGAUUCCUGCCCUUCCCUUCACAGCAACCCUGUGACAUAGGUUAGGUUGAGAAGCACUAACUGGCCCAAAUAUCACCCAGUGAGCUUCUUUCCUCUGUGGAUAUUUGAACCUGAAUCUUCCAGAUUCUGCUCUGGUACUAACCACUACACCACACUAGCUUUUAGGUGUAUUCCAGAUGUUUUCUCAAGACAUCCAAUUGUGGUUUCUCUACCUCCUGGUUUAGUUGAAUUUCACCUGUAUAAAAAUGUCAUGGAGGUUAAACAACAUACUUUGUCCUGCAUUGUGCACACCCUAGGAAAGACCUCCUAUCAUGCUAAACCAUAAUAGCAGAAACGAUGGCUUGCAAGACCAGUUCAUACCAUGGUUUCUUAUAUGAUUUGCUGGAUAAUCACAGGCUGUGUGUUGUCAAUUCAGGCGUCACAUCAUGGUUUGAUUUGUGUCUGAAUUUGAGUCAUGUCUGAUUCCAGAUUUAGAUUCUUUUAUCUUGAUACCAUCAGUUCAUCUUUAGUAGCAUUCUUUUCGUAAAUUACAGAACUUCUAUGUACAAAAUAUCAGACUCCCCUGAGAUAACAUUUUUAUGUUAUACAUUUCACAUAUGGAGAGCAUCUGUGUUUUGUGUCUUAAAAUGUCAUAUAAAAUAAGAAUAAUUCGAUUGCAUUCAUUUUUGGCAUCUGUAAAAAGCUUGCAAAUGUUAAAUAAAUUAGCCACAAACUGAAUAUGGUAUCGGUGGUUAUUUCUUGUGAGCAAAUGUAAUUAACAGUCUGACCCGUAACUAUUUUAAGUUUGCUUUAUUAAACUUUGUUAACAAAUAAAAUUUAUGUAAUAAUAAAAGAGGAAAAUUGUUCUUUUUAUAAUCAAAUAAGUUAAUCUUACAUACAUUUCAAACAGCACUAACAUUUCCCCCCUUGCUUUUCCUAUUCAUGACUAUCCUUUUCUGGAACAAAUCUAAGAUUAAACACUUGAAUUUGUGCUUUUCCAGUCUUUGAAUUAGUCAAUGAAACCAUACUGGUUGAUAUGCAAAUAUUCAAGGUUUACUGGGUUAUAGAUCAGGCUAUAAAAUCCUUUUUCUUAAUUUUAAAAUUACAUCUUAAUGCUAGUCAGCUGUUUAAGAGAUGCCAUGUCUAAUACACGUACACAAUGCAUUGAGAAACUAUCUCAAUUUACCUGUCAAUGUAGACUUUAAAUUAAAGUAUAUAUAGACAUGGAAUAGAUCUAUGUUGGACAAGGUGUGGAGCGCUUUCAAGUGAAGUGAGUUUCCAUUUGAAGCUGUCACUUUUAUAUCUUGCUCUUAAGUACAUUGGGUGACUAUAUUGGGCUGAAAUUCAAAAUUUCUGCCUUGUUUCCCUGUGUGCACCAAGAUUUCCGGUUUCCACAUUUCACAGCAGCCUCUUCGGAAGAUUAGACGAUUGUCCAAUGCAGUAUCUAGCAUAGUGCAAAGGACCGCAGCUGAAAGCAAAACUCAGCAGUAUCUCACGGGUUUACAGAAGCACUUCAAUCACAUCAGCACAGAUGUAUUUGGCUCCUGGCCAUAAUCACUCCAAAGUACCAUUACUGUUGAUGGGGUUUUUUUGGCUAAUCUUGAAGCCAUAUUCUGAUGAUCCCUCAUACCUACGGGACCACUUCUCCUGGUAUGUCCCACGGAAGAACUUAAAGU